This 442-nucleotide ribosomal RNA is filed under the name uncultured bacterium. RNAcentral describes it as "partial 16S ribosomal RNA". It matches the Rfam family "Bacterial small subunit ribosomal RNA", at positions 338 to 795 of the family's 1533-position model. The record is from RNAcentral.
CCUACGGGUGGCAGCAGUGGGGAAUAUUGGGCAAUGGGCGCAAGCCUGACCCAGCAACGCCGCGUGAAGGAAGAAGGCUUUCGGGUUGUAAACUUCUUUUAUGAGGGAAGAGCAGAAGACGGUACCUCUUGAAUAAGCCACGGCUAACUAUGUGCCAGCAGCCGCGGUAAUACGUAGGUGGCAAGCGUUGUCCGGAUUCACGGGGUGUAAAGGGCGUGUAGCCGGGCUGACAAGUCAGAUGUGAAAUUCCGGGGCUCAUGCGCGGACCUGCAUUUGAAACUGUUGGUCUUGAGUGUCGGAGAGGCAGGCGGAAUGCCUAGUGUAGCGGUGAAAUGCGUAGAUAUUAGGAGGAACACCGGUGGCGAAGGCGGCCUGCUGAACGACAACUGACGGUGAGGCGCGAAAGCGUGGGGAGCAAACAGGAUUAGAUACCCCGGUAGUC